This 205-nucleotide long non-coding RNA is filed under the name Elaeis guineensis (African oil palm). RNAcentral describes it as "long non-coding RNA (EGUI_LNC064062)". The record is from RNAcentral. Lineage: Eukaryota; Viridiplantae; Streptophyta; Magnoliopsida; Arecales; Arecaceae.
CAACGGCCCUUAUGUGCCCCCACAGCUUGUUAGGAAUAGGAGGAGAACCUCAUCCUAACAUGAGCAAAGUCGAAGACCCGAUUUCUUAAAGAUCGGAUGGGGGGAGAGGCCCUCACAAUGGCCCAUAUGUGCCCCCACAGUCUUAUUAGGAACAGAAGGAGAACCUCAUCCUAACAUGAGCAAAGUCGAAGGCCCGGUUACUUAA